AUACAGAGGGGGCAAGCGUUGUUCGGAAUUACUGGGCGUAAAGGGCGCGUAGGCGGCCUGUUAAGUCGAACGUGAAAUCCCUAGGCUCAACCUAGGAACUGCGUCCGAUACUGGCAGGCUUGAAUCCGGGAGAGGGAUGCGGAAUUCCAGGUGUAGCGGUGAAAUGCGUAGAUAUCUGGAGGAACACCGGUGGCGAAGGCGGCAUCCUGGACCGGCAUUGACGCGGAGGCGCGAAAGCCAGGGGAGCAAACGGGAUUAGAUACCCCGGUAGUCCGGGCCCUAAACGAUGAAUGCUUGGUGUGGCGGGUAUCGAUCCCUGCCGUGCCGAAGCUAACGCAUUAAGCAUUCCGCCUGGGGAGUACGGUCGCAAGGCUGAAACUCAAAUGAAUUGACGGGG
This 397-nucleotide ribosomal RNA is filed under the name uncultured bacterium. RNAcentral describes it as "partial 16S ribosomal RNA". It matches the Rfam family "Bacterial small subunit ribosomal RNA", at positions 523 to 918 of the family's 1533-position model. The record is from RNAcentral.